RNAcentral lists this ribosomal RNA (465 nucleotides) under Vreelandella stevensii. RNAcentral describes it as "partial 16S ribosomal RNA". It matches the Rfam family "Bacterial small subunit ribosomal RNA", at positions 338 to 795 of the family's 1533-position model. Lineage: Bacteria; Pseudomonadati; Pseudomonadota; Gammaproteobacteria; Oceanospirillales; Halomonadaceae. The record is from RNAcentral.
CCUACGGGAGGCAGCAGUGGGGAAUAUUGGACAAUGGGGGGAACCCUGAUCCAGCCAUGCCGCGUGUGUGAAGAAGGCCCUCGGGUUGUAAAGCACUUUCAGUGAGGAAGAACGCCUGGUGGUUAAUACCCAUCAGGAAAGACAUCACUCACAGAAGAAGCACCGGCUAACUCCGUGCCAGCAGCCGCGGUAAUACGGAGGGUGCGAGCGUUAAUCGGAAUUACUGGGCGUAAAGCGCGCGUAGGUGGCUUGAUAAGCCGGUUGUGAAAGCCCCGGGCUCAACCUGGGAACGGCAUCCGGAACUGUCAAGCUAGAGUGCAGGAGAGGAAGGUAGAAUUCCCGGUGUAGCGGUGAAAUGCGUAGAGAUCGGGAGGAAUACCAGUGGCGAAGGCGGCCUUCUGGACUGACACUGACACUGAGGUGCGAAAGCGUGGGUAGCAAACAGGAUCAGAUACCCUUGUAGUC